This 251-nucleotide ribosomal RNA is filed under the name uncultured bacterium. RNAcentral describes it as "partial 16S ribosomal RNA". It matches the Rfam family "Bacterial small subunit ribosomal RNA", at positions 525 to 775 of the family's 1533-position model. The record is from RNAcentral.
ACGUAGGGGGCGAGCGUUAUCCGGAAUUACUGGGUGUAAAGGGUGCGUAGGCGGCACCGUAAGUCUGUUGUGAAAGGCGAUGGCUUAACCAUCGAAGUGCAAUGGAAACUGCGGAGCUAGAGUGCAGGAGAGGAAAGCGGAAUUCCUAGUGUAGCGGUGAAAUGCGUAGAUAUUAGGAAGAACACCAGUGGCGAAGGCGGCUUUCUGGACUGCAACUGACGCUGAGGCACGAAAGCGUGGGGAGCAAACAG